ACCCAUAACUGAAUACAUAGGUUAUGUGGAGGGCACCCGGAGAACUGAAACAUCUUAGUACCCGG
Molecule: ribosomal RNA, 65 nt
Filed under: Chryseobacterium sp.
Lineage: Bacteria; Pseudomonadati; Bacteroidota; Flavobacteriia; Flavobacteriales; Weeksellaceae
Description: partial 23S ribosomal RNA
Source: RNAcentral